GACGAACCGUGCGAACGUUGUUCGGAAUCACUGGGCUUAAAGGGCGCGUAGGCGGGCCGGACGGUCCGGGGUGAAAUCCCCCCGCUCAACGGGGGAACGGCCCCGGACACCGCCGGCCUCGAGGAAGGUAGGGGCGAGCGGAACGCUGGGUGGAGCGGUGAAAUGCGUUGAUAUCCAGCGGAACUCCGGUGGCGAAGGCGGCUCGCUGGACCUUUUCUGACGCUGAGGCGCGAAAGCCAGGGGAGCGAACGGG
This 253-nucleotide ribosomal RNA is filed under the name uncultured bacterium. RNAcentral's name for it is "partial 16S ribosomal RNA". It matches the Rfam family "Bacterial small subunit ribosomal RNA", at positions 524 to 776 of the family's 1533-position model. The record is from RNAcentral.